UACGUAGGGCGCAAGCGUUGUCCGGAAUUAUUGGGCGUAAAGAGCUCGUAGGCGGCUUGUCACGUCGGGUGUGAAAGCCCGGGGCUUAACCCCGGGUCUGCAUUCGAUACGGGCUAGCUAGAGUGUGGUAGGGGAGAUCGGAAUUCCUGGUGUAGCGGUGAAAUGCGCAGAUAUCAGGAGGAACACCGAUGGCGAAGGCAGGUCUCUGGGCAUUAACUGACGCUGAGGAGCGAAAGCAUGGGGAGCGAACAGG
RNAcentral lists this ribosomal RNA (253 nucleotides) under uncultured bacterium. RNAcentral describes it as "partial 16S ribosomal RNA". It matches the Rfam family "Bacterial small subunit ribosomal RNA", at positions 524 to 776 of the family's 1533-position model. The record is from RNAcentral.